GACGAACCGUGCGAACGUUAUUCGGAAUCAUUGGGCUUAAAGUGCGCGUAGGCGGCGGUGUAAGUUGGAAGUGAAAUCCCAUCGGCUCAACCGUGGAAUUGCUCCCAGUACUGCAUCGCUCGAGGGGGAUAGGGGUUUGCGGAACUACCGGUGGAGCGGUGAAAUGUGUUGAUAUCGGUGGGAACGCCAGUGGCGAAAGCGGCAAACUUGACCCUUCCUGACGCUGAGGCGCGAAAGCUAGGGGAGCAAACGGG
Molecule: ribosomal RNA, 254 nt
Filed under: uncultured bacterium
Lineage: Bacteria
Description: partial 16S ribosomal RNA
Rfam family: Bacterial small subunit ribosomal RNA
Source: RNAcentral